Long non-coding RNA from Triticum dicoccoides, 2469 nucleotides. RefSeq lists it as uncharacterized. NCBI's taxonomy places the organism in Eukaryota, Viridiplantae, Streptophyta, Magnoliopsida, Poales, Poaceae. The record is from RefSeq and is a predicted model, not a curated record. The transcript is spliced from 6 exons.
CCGCACAAGGAUGGAUAAGGUGAGCGCUCUGAGCUAAGGAGCAGUGGAAAAAAGGCUUCCUCUUAUCUGGCGAGCGUGGUCGAGGCUGGCCGUGAUGCAGACGACGCCGGGCGCGGAGGCGGCUAUCUCCGGCCAGAUCCGGUCGAGGAGGGGCGGCAGGGGUCGGAUCCUGUUCCGGCGACGGCGUGGAUGCGAUCUACGAGGCGCAUGAGGAGGUCCAAUGGUGGGGCUUCAAUUCCAAGUUCAUCGCGGCGGCGUUCCUCGCCGGUACCGAGCGAGAUGGCUAGCUCCGGCGAAGUCUCUCCAUCGAUACGGUGGCUCUGUACCUGUGAGAGAGACAUAGGUGAGGGGAGAGGCAGGGAGGAGAGGGUGUGAGGAGCGGCAAGGAAGUCUUGGUGGUGCCCGCCUCCUACAGCAGCCCUGGUGAGUGCGGCCAAAGAGAGAGAGAUAAGAGAGAGCCAAGAGGAAGAAGGAAAGGAAGGAGACUUCAGGAAGGGGCGGCGGGAUCCUGCGGUGCUGGGUUCGAGCUCCGUUGGUGGUGCUACUGCUGCUGUUGGACAAUGGCCGAUGGGACUUGGUAAGAGGAAAACAUGGACUUGGUAAGUCCUUCUCCCUUCUCUGAUUAAUAUUGGGAUUCCGUUGCUAUUUGAUGGAGAGCAGCCACCAAAAAUUCCUCUCUUGAGCAACGCUCCCUCCCUCCCUCCCUCCCUCUCGAAUCUGAUUCAUCACAAGACUAUCAACAGACAACAUCCUACCUCCAGAAUGUUUGGGGCCCCUAGGUAUUUGACUGAAUAGCACGGGCUCGCGUGUGUAUGUCACCAUGACAAUACUGCACUUCAAGAUUUCAUAAGUUUAAUCUUUAGUUCUAACAUUAUCUUUUGUGCAGAUAAGGAUGGCAGUAGAAGAGCUUGACGACAAUGAAUGACAACCAUAUGGACAUUUUUUUAGUAGCCAAUGAAUAUAGGCCAGUGAGCCAUGGAUUUUGGUUUGCUCUUUUUCUCCUUUAUGUGAUGAGGCAAGGAACAUGCUAAAGGGGAUAUUGUCAAUGCUGCAUAAUUAUGUUGUAUGAUGUUUACAUAUUUUCGGACCUCAUCUCAGUAAAAUUCUGUAUUUAUUUUGGGGCCUAAUGGUGUUUAGUUCAUUUAACUUUUUCUAUUCAUAUACACGAAUAGCAGGAUUUCAGGCCAGUAGACUGUUAUACCAGCAGUUUCAUUUAACUUUUAUUCAUUAAUAGUGAGAGUAAGAUAUCCUGACAAUUUGUCCGCUGGAAAAUCUUACGUACUAUUUGUUUCAUGUAGGUUCUGGAAUUGCUUGAGGUUGUACAGUUUAGAUGUCCAGACACUUCAAUGAAAUACUCUCAGUUGCUUUCAAAUCUGAGAGUUGGAUGGAAGCUUGAAGAGAUCCUAUAGAAUUCUGCAACAUCUGAAUUUGGUGGUGUAUAUUGUUUUUCGGAGAGAGGUGAUCGACAGAUUGAUCUGGAUGCGUUCCAUCAAAAUCUUAUCCAAGUUGCAUGAUGUCACAAAAACUGCACACAAUUGAGCGAGUCUAAGAAAGAAGAGCUAAAAGAAUCGUUCCAUCAUAUGCUGAAAUGGGCCCGGAGAUAUAACAAAAAUCUUGAAACAGGCAGCCCAGCUUCACAUGUUAACUAGCUGGUCUGAAAUUCUUCAAAUGAGUUGUGUGUGUGCAUGACCACUUAAUCUUUGCAGUUGGAAAUUGGAUAUAGUAACCCGCUUGUUGUUAAUUUCAGCUAGUUGUAUCAAGAAGGAUGUCAUUGCUUGAGGAUCAUUCACAGUUAUUGUUUGAAGUCGACGACAAGUGCUAUCAUCAUGAGGCCAGACAAGUCGUUGUGCCAAUCCAAUGAGUUUCCAACAAUGGAAAGUCAUCCGAAGAAUCAUGUCCCAGUGAGUAGUCCAGCUCCAGCAACAAGACCACAUCUGAUUUCCACCAAGAAGCUGGACCAGCGGCAUUGUACUCAGGACAAGUGCACUGAGGAAUAAGUAUGCAGAGAAGCUUUGAUUCAUCAUCAUCUACAUAUACUUAGAAUAUAACUCACUAGAUGAAGAAUGGCAUGUUGGCUUCUUCGCGUCCGAACUUGAAGGGGUUAUCUAUUGCUAUACAGUGAACGGAACUACCAGUUUGCAUUAAGAUGGACUCACUUUCAGCGAUGAAUAUUCUGAAUGGGAGGGACAUGGAAAGGUCUGUGUAUGCUUCUUUGGUGGCGGAGAUCAAGCAUCUGAAGUCUCUUUGUAUGGCCCGUAUUACUCAUAUCAGCUGUUGUCAAAAUGUAGUUAGUGAUAUUUUAGCAAGUUUCGCAAAAACUGAAAGGAGAACUAUAGUCUGGCUCGGCUCCGCCCCCUCGAGGUCGUUGAUUUGUGUAAGGACGAGUGCAAGGUUGCUGCUUGAGUAAUACAAGUUUAUACCUUUUUUUGCGGGUGAAUACAAAUUUAUACCCGCAAAAAAAUCAUACUA